GUGGAUGCCUUGGCAGUCAGAGGCGAUGAAAGACGUGGUAGCCUGCGAUAAGCUUUGGGGAGUCGGCAAACAGACUGUGAUCCAGAGAUCUCUGAAUGGGGGAACCCAGCCAGCANAAGCUGGUUAUCUUGUACUGAAUACAUAGGUGCAAGAGGCGAACCAGGGGAACUGAAACAUCUAAGUACCCUGAGGAAAAGAAAUCAACCGAGAUUCCCUUAGUAGUGGCGAGCGAACGGGGACCAGCCCUUAAGUUGNUUUGAGAUUAGUGGAACGCUCUGGAAAGUGCGGCCAUAGUGGGUGAUAGCCCCGUACACGAAAAUCUCUUAUCAAUGAAAUCGAGUAGGACGGAGCACGAGNAACUUUGUCUGAAUAUGGGGGGACCAUCCUCCAAGGCUAAAUACUACUGACUGANCGAUAGUGAACCAGUACCGNGAGGGAAAGGCGAAAAGAACCCCGGAGAGGGGAGNGAAAUAGAACCUGAAACCGUAUGCGUACAAGCAGUGGGAGCCUACUUUGUUAGGUGACUGCGUACCUUUUGUAUAAUGGGUCAGCGACUUAUAUUCAGUGGCGAGCUUAACCGAAUAGGGGAGGCGUAGCGAAAGCGAGUCUUAAUAGGGCGUUUAGUCGCUGGGUAUAGACCCGAAACCGGGCGAUCUAUCCAUGGGCAGGUUGAAGGUUAGGUAACACUGACUGGAGGACCGAACCGACUACCGUUGAAAAGUUAGCGGAUGACCUGUGGAUCGGAGUGAAAGGCUAAUCAAGCUCGGAGAUAGCUGGUUCUCCUCGAAAGCUAUUUAGGUAGCGCCUCAUGUAUCACUGUAGGGGGUAGAGCACUGUUUCGGCUAGGGGGUCAUCCCGACUUACCAAACCGAUGCAAACUCCGAAUACCUACAAGUGCCGAGCAUGGGAGACACACGGCGGGUGCUAACGUCCGUCGUGAAAAGGGAAACAACCCAGACCGUCAGCUAAGGUCCCAAAGUCAUGGUUAAGUGGGAAACGAUGUGGGAAGGCUUAGACAGCUAGGAGGUUGGCUUAGAAGCAGCCACCCUUUAAAGAAAGCGUAAUAGCUCACUAGUCGAGUCGGCCUGCGCGGAAGAUGUAACGGGGCUCAAACCAUGCACCGAAGCUACGGGUAUCAUCNUAUGAUGAUGCGGUAGAGGAGCGUUCUGUAAGCCUGUGAAGGUGAGUUGAGAAGCUUGCUGGAGGUAUCAGAAGUGCGAAUGCUGACAUGAGUAACGACAAUGNGAGUGAAAAACUCGCACGCCGAAAGACCAAGGUUUCCUGCGCAACGUUAAUCGACGCAGGGUUAGUCGGUCCCUAAGGCGAGGCUGAAAAGCGUAGUCGAUGGAAAACAGGUUAAUAUUCCUGUACUUCCAGUUAUUGCGAUGGAGGGACGGAGAAGGUUAGGCCAGCCUGGCGUUGGUUGUCCNGGUUUAAGGUGGUAGGCUGAAAUCUUAGGCAAAUCCGGGAUUUCAAGGCCGAGAGCUGAUGACGAGUUGCCUUUAGGCGACGAAGUGGUUGAUACCAUGCUUCCAAGAAAAGCUCCUAAGCUUCAGNUAACUGGGAACCNUACCCNAAACCGACACAGGUGGUUAGGUAGAGAAUACCAAGGCGCUUGAGAGAACUCGGGUGAAGGAACUAGGCAAAAUGGCACCGUAACUUCGGGAGAAGGUGCGCCGGCGAGGGUNAAGGACUUGCUCCGUAAGCCCAUGCCGGUCGAAGAUACCAGGCCGCUGCGACUGUUUAUUAAAAACACAGCACUCUGCAAACACGAAAGUGGACGUAUAGGGUGUGACGCCUGCCCGGUGCCGGAAGGUUAAUUGAUGGGGUUAGCGCAAGCGAAGCUCUUGAUCGAAGCCCCGGUAAACGGCGGCCGUAACUAUAACGGUCCUAAGGUAGCGAAAUUCCUUGUCGGGUAAGUUCCGACCUGCACGAAUGGCGUAACGAUGGCGGCGCUNUCUCCACCCGAGACUCAGUGAAAUUGAAAUCGCUGUGAAGAUGCAGUGUAUCCGCGGCUAGACGGAAAGACCCCGUGAACCUUUACUAUAGCUUUGCACUGGACUUUGAAUUUGCUUGUGUAGGAUAGGNNGNAGGCUUUGAAGUGGGGACGCCAGUNCUCAUGGAGCCAUCCUUGAAAUACCACCCUGGCAACUUUGAGGUUCUAACUCAGGUCCGUUAUCCGGAUCGAGGACAGUGUAUGGUGGGUAGUUUGACUGGGGCGGUCUCCUCCCAAAGAGUAACGGAGGAGUACGAAGGUGCGCUCAGACCGGUCGGAAAUCGGUCGUAGAGUAUAAAGGCAAAAGCGNGCUUGACUGCGAGACAAACACGUCGAGCAGGUACGAAAGUAGGUCUUANUGAUCCGGUGGUUCUGUAUGGAAGGGCCAUCGCUCAACGGAUAAAAGGUACUCCGGGGAUAACAGGCUGAUACCGCCCAAGAGUUCAUAUCGACGGCGGUGUUUGGCACCUCGAUGUCGGCUCAUCACAUCCUGGGGCUGAAGCCGGUCCCAAGGGUAUGGCUGUUCGCCAUUUAAAGUGGUACGCGAGCUGGGUUUAGAACGUCGUGAGACAGUUCGGUCCCUAUCUGCCGUGNACGUUUGNGAUUUGAGAGGGGCUGCUCCNAGUACGAGAGGACCGGAGUGGACGAACCUCUGGUGUUCCGGUUGUCACGCCAGUGGCAUUGCCGGGUAGCUAUGUUCGGAAGAGAUAACCGCUGAAAGCAUCUAAGCGGGAAACUUGCCUNAAGAUGAGAUCUCACUNGGAUCUUGAAUCNCCUAAAGGGCCGUCGAAGACUACGACGUUGAUAGGUUGGGUGUGUAAGCGCUGUGAGGCGUUGAGCUAACCAAUACUAAUUGCCCGUGAGGCUUGACC
RNAcentral lists this ribosomal RNA (2868 nucleotides) under Pseudomonas putida. RNAcentral's name for it is "bacterial LSU rRNA". It matches the Rfam family "Bacterial large subunit ribosomal RNA". Lineage: Bacteria; Pseudomonadati; Pseudomonadota; Gammaproteobacteria; Pseudomonadales; Pseudomonadaceae. The record is from RNAcentral.